GUAGGGCCAAGCGUUGUCCGGAUUUAUUGGGCGUAAAGAGCUCGUAGGCGGUUCGGUAAGUCGGGUGUGAAAACUCAGGGGCUCAACCCUGAGACGCCACUCGAUACUGCCAUGACUAGAGUCCCGGUAGGGGAGCGUGGAAUUCCUGGUGUAGCGGUGAAAUGCGCAGAUAUCAGGAGGAACACCGAUAGCGAAGGCAGCGCUCUGGGCCGGUACUGACGCUGAGGAGCGAAAGCGUGGGGAGCAAACAGGAUUAGAUACCCUGGUAGUCCACGCCGUAAACGUUGGGCACUAGGUGUGGGUUCCAUCCAACGGAAUCCGUGCCGUAGCUAACGCAUUAAGUGCCCCGCCUGGGGAGUACGGCCGCAAGGCUA
This 374-nucleotide ribosomal RNA is filed under the name uncultured organism. RNAcentral's name for it is "partial 16S ribosomal RNA". It matches the Rfam family "Bacterial small subunit ribosomal RNA", at positions 528 to 896 of the family's 1533-position model. The record is from RNAcentral.